UUAUGUGAACUUUGCAAAGCAUUACUGGUCACAGCAGGAUAAAGGAAGAACAUUGUGAUAGGUUAAACAAUAGUAUAAACUAGUCUAGCUAUGAUGAUCCUUCAAAUACUGAAUCCUUAAUAGUCAAUAGAGCAGAAUAGAUACAAAGGAUUCAUAAUGGUGGCCCUAACUAAUUUGGUGAAACAUAGUUGAAUUGUUUUAUCAAAUCAUACGUUACGUAUUCAAAUACUGAAUCCUUAAUAGUCAAUAGAGCAGAAUAGAUACAAAGGAUUCAUAAUGGUGGCCCUAACUAAUUUGGUGAAACAUAGUUGAAUUGUUGAUUGAUAUGUAACGAGGGACUAGGGGAGGACUCUGGAUAAUGUUCAUAUUUUUCAAAAGUUUAAGGUACUUCCAAAGCACUUUCUGGGAUAAUUUCCUUAGACAGAUCUCCACCAUCAACCACCCCCUCACCAACAAGUCUCACAUGGUAAUAUAAUUUUCAGUUCUGUGGUUCAAAAAUAUUAUUUCAAAGCAUCUGCUGAUCUGUUCCUAUUAAGUAGGCAAAUGUAAGACAACCACAAUUAGGCCUGGAACUCUCAAAGCGAGUCCAAGGAAAAAUUGAACAUCCAAAUGACAGCAAGUUGGUUUGAACUUUGAACCAAUAGCAAGAAAGGAUCCAUACAUUCAACAAAGCAACAAGUGUUAUCUAAACACAAAACAAAUAGCAAAAUCGUGAGUGAAAGACCAAAUCAUAGUUCAGAACCUACAAGCUUCCAGGGAAAAGUAGAUCAAUGACAUUAAUAAAGGCAAUAUUACAGAAACAUUAUACAGCAAUAUCCAACAGAAGAUUCAAUUUGCAAAAGAAGAAAAACAUGUUUCGGAUAUACCAAAGUAAUGGCAGGCCUACUUGAUGAGAUCAAACGAGCUAUAAAUGUAAUCAAAUUCAACACAAUGGUGAACCAAGAGAGAUGCAAACAUAUUCCAGAGAUCAAAUCCGUAGAGAAGUAGGUCAAAGAAACUAAAAUAAAGGAGGAAAUAACACAAAAUUUUAUAAAACAAAAAUCCAACAGACGAUUCAAGUAACAAAAAAGGAAGAAAAACAUGUUCCAGAUGAACCAAAAUAAUGGCAUACCUCCUCUGUGAGAUCGUAAGAGCUACAAAUUUCAUCAAAUUUAAAACUAUGGUCUAGCAGGACAGAAACAAACAUAUUCCAGCUCAAGUGAUCACAGAAGCUUUGAGGUGAACUACAUACAGGAGUUAUCUACAUAAAUGUUUGAAAAAUGUUAUAAUCUUAUAAAAAAGAACAUGUCACACUCUCACUGAUCAAGAAAACAUUUCAUACUCUUUGUCAUUUAUUUCACCUGCUUGCACUUUGGAGAUCAAAAGAAACUCCUCCUUGACCAUUAAGUUUUCAAUUAGUCAUUUAUUAUAUUAAAUUCUU
Molecule: long non-coding RNA, 1420 nt
Filed under: Nicotiana benthamiana
Lineage: Eukaryota; Viridiplantae; Streptophyta; Magnoliopsida; Solanales; Solanaceae
Description: long non-coding RNA (NBEN_LNC020297)
Source: RNAcentral